This 835-nucleotide ribosomal RNA is filed under the name Bacillus licheniformis. Its description in RNAcentral is "bacterial SSU rRNA". It matches the Rfam family "Bacterial small subunit ribosomal RNA", at positions 79 to 895 of the family's 1533-position model. Lineage: Bacteria; Bacillati; Bacillota; Bacilli; Caryophanales; Bacillaceae. The record is from RNAcentral.
CUUGCUCCCUUAGGUCAGCGGCGGACGGGUGAGUAACACGUGGGUAACCUGCCUGUAAGACUGGGAUAACUCCGGGAAACCGGGGCUAAUACCGGAUGCUUGAUUGAACCGCAUGGUUCAAUUAUAAAAGGUGGCUUUUAGCUACCACUUACAGAUGGACCCGCGGCGCAUUAACUAGUUGGUGAGGUAACGGCUCACCAAGGCGACGAUGCGUAGCCGACCUGAGAGGGUGAUCGGCCACACUGGGACUGAGACACGGCCCAGACUCCUACGGGAGGCAGCAGUAGGGAAUCUUCCGCAAUGGACGAAAGUCUGACGGAGCAACGCCGCGUGAGUGAUGAAGGUUUUCGGAUCGUAAAACUCUGUUGUUAGGGAAGAACAAGUACCGUUCGAAUAGGGCGGUACCUUGACGGUACCUAACCAGAAAGCCACGGCUAACUACGUGCCAGCAGCCGCGGUAAUACGUAGGUGGCAAGCGUUGUCCGGAAUUAUUGGGCGUAAAGCGCGCGCAGGCGGUUUCUUAAGUCUGAUGUGAAAGCCCCCGGCUCAACCGGGGAGGGUCAUUGGAAACUGGGGAACUUGAGUGCAGAAGAGGAGAGUGGAAUUCCACGUGUAGCGGUGAAAUGCGUAGAGAUGUGGAGGAACACCAGUGGCGAAGGCGACUCUCUGGUCUGUAACUGACGCUGAGGCGCGAAAGCGUGGGGAGCGAACAGGAUUAGAUACCCUGGUAGUCCACGCCGUAAACGAUGAGUGCUAAGUGUUAGAAGGUUUCCGCCCUUUAGUGCUGCAGCAAACGCAUUAAGCACUCCGCCUGGGGGAGUACGGUCGCAAGACU